GCCCGGCUAGCUCAAUUGGUAGAGCACGAAACUCGGGAUCGUGGGUUCGAGCCCCACUUUGGGCG
This 65-nucleotide transfer RNA is filed under the name Stegodyphus mimosarum. It matches the Rfam family "tRNA". From Rfam's summary of the family: Transfer RNA (tRNA) molecules are approximately 80 nucleotides in length. Their secondary structure includes four short double-helical elements and three loops (D, anti-codon, and T loops). The record is from Rfam by way of RNAcentral. Lineage: Eukaryota; Metazoa; Arthropoda; Arachnida; Araneae; Eresidae.